AGCCAACAAAUUCUUCUCAUUGCCGCUCACCGAGAAACAAAAAGCUGGGCCGCCGUGUCCCUUCGGGUACGGGAAUAAGAGUAUCGGUUCCAACGGCGAUGUCGGCUGGGUCGAAUACCUUCUUCUCACCGCCAAUCAUGAUUCCAUCCUACAAAAAUUCGAAUCAAUUUUUGGUGAAAACCCAGAAAGUUUUAGGUACCCGGAUGAAAUAAAACAAAAUGAAAUAUAUACCCAAAAUCGAUUUAAACCCAAAUUUUAUCUUAAUUGAAAUGGGUUUGUUUUUGUUGCAGGGAUGUGUUGAAUGAUUAUAUAGGGGCAGUGAAGAAAAUGGCUUGUGAGAUACUUGAAAUAAUGGCGGAUGGGUUGAAGGUUCAAGCGAGAAAUGCUUUCAGCAAAUUGUUAAUGGAUAAACAGAGCGACUCUGUUUUCCGACUGAAUCAUUAUCCUCGAUGCCCAGAUUCUGAAGCUUUGAGUGGUAGUGAUUUGAUUGG
Molecule: long non-coding RNA, 491 nt
Filed under: Carica papaya (papaya)
Lineage: Eukaryota; Viridiplantae; Streptophyta; Magnoliopsida; Brassicales; Caricaceae
Description: long non-coding RNA (CPAP_LNC007530)
Source: RNAcentral